This 492-nucleotide ribosomal RNA is filed under the name uncultured bacterium. RNAcentral describes it as "partial 16S ribosomal RNA". It matches the Rfam family "Bacterial small subunit ribosomal RNA", at positions 29 to 507 of the family's 1533-position model. The record is from RNAcentral.
AGUGAACGCUGGCGGUAGGCCUAACACAUGCAAGUCGAACGGCAGCACAGUAAGAGCUUGCUCUUGCGGGUGGCGAGUGGCGGACGGGUGAGGAAUACAUCGGAAUCUACUUUUUCGUGGGGGAUAACGUAGGGAAACUUACGCUAAUACCGCAUACGACCUACGGGUGAAAGCAGGGGAUCUUCGGACCUUGCGCGAUUGAAUGAGCCGAUGUCGGAUUAGCUAGUUGGCGGGGUAAAGGCCAACCAAGGCGACGAUCCGUAGCUGGUCUGAGAGGAUGAUCAGCCACACUGGAACUGAGACACGGUCCAGACUCCUACGGGAGGCAGCAGUGGGGAAUAUUGGACAAAGGGCGCAAGCCUGAUCCAGCCAUACCGCGUGGGUGAAGAAGGCCUUCGGGUUGUAAAGCCCUUUUGUUGGGAAAGAAAAGCAGCAGGUUAAUACCCCGCUGUUCUGACGGUACCCAAAGAAUAAGCACCGGCUAACUUCGUG